RNAcentral lists this long non-coding RNA (240 nucleotides) under Phoenix dactylifera (date palm). RNAcentral's name for it is "long non-coding RNA (PDAC_LNC010411)". The record is from RNAcentral. Lineage: Eukaryota; Viridiplantae; Streptophyta; Magnoliopsida; Arecales; Arecaceae.
AUCAAUCUUUGGGUCAUCAGUCUCCCCCUUUUUGAUGAUGACAAAACUUGGAGUAUAUGCAAUAUAAAAUAUAUUGUGUUCUAGAAGUAGUGCAUAGCUAAGUUGCAUGAAGUAGAAAACAUAUAUAUUUAAAACAUACUUCAUGAUAAUGCUUUAGAUUUAAUCAGCUUAACACAAUCAACAUAUUUCAAUUUAAGCUGAUUUGUAUUCAAUUCAAAAUAUAAAGCAUUAUGAGCAUAU